AUGGAAGUGAUGAUCCUUUCCCCAAAUGAUCGACUCUGAUUAUACUAUGCGUUUUGUUUAAUUCUCUUUAUCAGAGAGAAUUUCCAAGCCAGGACUCUGAUCCAU
Molecule: small nucleolar RNA, 105 nt
Organism: Macleaya cordata
Lineage: Eukaryota; Viridiplantae; Streptophyta; Magnoliopsida; Ranunculales; Papaveraceae
Rfam family: Small nucleolar RNA Z103
About the family: This family consists of several snoRNA Z103 sequences which are members of the C/D class of snoRNA which contain the C (UGAUGA) and D (CUGA) box motifs. This family seems to be found exclusively in plants.
Source: Rfam